RNAcentral lists this long non-coding RNA (742 nucleotides) under Jatropha curcas. RNAcentral's name for it is "long non-coding RNA (JCUR_LNC002332)". Lineage: Eukaryota; Viridiplantae; Streptophyta; Magnoliopsida; Malpighiales; Euphorbiaceae. The record is from RNAcentral.
UAAGAAUAAGAAAGACCCAAUUCAAUCUAAUAAACAACAUGUGUAGUCUAUUCAAGAAGAUUGUUUAUCCCUUUAAUAUAACUUGAAAAUCUGGCUCUAAACAAGCUAUAUUAAUUGCUACAAAUUGUUAACUCAAUCAAACAAUUACGGAUUUGAUUGUAUUAACUAGCACCUGUCACUCUAAAUUAAUCAAAUAACUGGCCAUUUACUUAAUUAAAUAGAACAACAACAUCCAUCUAAACCAUUAAUUGCAAGAGAUAAACAAAUAUUGAAGAGUUAAAUGAGUAAAAAGAAGAACAAUUCUCACAACACUUCGGUAGAACUAGCACUUGAUUAAACCUUAAGCUCGAAUUGAAAUAAUUCAGCCACGUACGGCCAUUUCCAAGCUUACAAACUAAAGAAAAGAAUUAUUAACUCAAAACUCCGAUAUCCCAACUAAUAGCCCAUCUCUCCCUUUUAUAGAAGAGAAGAGAAGACUAUUUCAAAGGAAACUGAGAAAAAUAUAUUUACAAUCAAAUCAAAUCCAACAAAAUAAAAUCCCAUGAUCCUCUCUAUUCUUCAAAACCUUUGAAUAAAUCUUCCAAAAAAAAUCCAGCAGCUCCUCAUCCUCUGACUUAGUGAUUUUAUCCCAAAAGGCAAAUAAAUAGAGUCAAACUAAUACCUGCAUCUAUUUAAUCACAUAGACCAACAAACCCAUCAAAAAUACCAAAUUAUAUGACUAAAAUAGUUACAUUUUCAUAGG